Molecule: ribosomal RNA, 459 nt
Filed under: uncultured bacterium
Lineage: Bacteria
Description: partial 16S ribosomal RNA
Rfam family: Bacterial small subunit ribosomal RNA
Source: RNAcentral
CCUACGGGAGACAGCAGUGAGGAAUAUUGGUCAAUGGCCGAGAGGCUGAACCAGCCAAGUCGCGUGAGGGAAGACGGCCCUACGGGUUGUAAACCUCUUUUGUCGGGGAGCAAAGCAAACCACGUGUGGUUCAUUGAGAGUACCCUAAGAAAAAGCAUCGGCUAACUCCGUGCCAGCAGCCGCGGUAAUACGGAGGAUGCGAGCGUUAUCCGGAUUUAUUGGGUUUAAAGGGUGCGCAGGCGGAGGUGCAAGUCAGCGGUCAAAUUGCGGGGCGCAACCCCGUACUGCCGUUGAAACUGGAUGCCUUGAGUGCGCGAGAGGUAGGCGGAAUGCGUGGUGUAGCGGUGAAAUGCAUAGAUAUCACGAAGAACUCCGAUUGCGAAGGCAGCAUACCGGCGCGCAACUGACGCUCAUGCACGAAAGCGUGGGUAUCGAACAGGAUUAGAUACCCCUGUAGUC